This 498-nucleotide ribosomal RNA is filed under the name uncultured bacterium. RNAcentral describes it as "partial 16S ribosomal RNA". It matches the Rfam family "Bacterial small subunit ribosomal RNA", at positions 28 to 507 of the family's 1533-position model. The record is from RNAcentral.
GACGAACGCUGGCGGCGUGCCUAAUACAUGCAAGUCGAACGAGAGCGACCGGUGCUUGCCCUGGUCAAUCUAGUGGCGCACGGGUGAGUAACACGUGGGUAACCUGCCCAUCAGAGGGGGAUAACAUCCAGAAACGGAUGCUAAAACCGCAUAGGUCUUCGAACCGCAUGGUUUGAAGAGGAAAAGAGGCGCAAGCUUCUGCUGAUGGAUGUACCCGCGGUGCAUUAGCUAGUUGGUGAGGUAACGGCUCACCAAGGCCGUGAUGCAUAGCCGACCUGAGAGGGUGAUCGGCCACAUUGGGACUGAGACACGGCCCAAACUCCUACGGGAGGCAGCAGUAGGGAAUCUUCCGCAAUGGACGCAAGUCUGACGGAGCAACGCCGCGUGAGUGAAGGAGGUUUUCGGAUCGUAAAACUCUGUUGUUAGAGAAGAACAAGUGCUAGAGUAACUGUUAGCGCCUUGACGGUAUCUAACCAGAAAGCCACGGCUAACUACGUG